Molecule: ribosomal RNA, 253 nt
Filed under: uncultured bacterium
Lineage: Bacteria
Description: partial 16S ribosomal RNA
Rfam family: Bacterial small subunit ribosomal RNA
Source: RNAcentral
UACAGAGGGUGCGAGCGUUGUCCGGAAUCACUGGGCGUAAAGGGCGCGUAGGUGGCUCGCUAAGCGUGCGGUGAAAGCCCGGGGCUCAACCCCGGGUCGGCCGUGCGAACUGGUGAGCUCGAGCACUGUAGAGGCGGGUGGAAUUCCGGGUGUAGCGGUGGAAUGCGUAGAGAUCCGGAAGAACACCGGUGGCGAAGGCGGCCCGCUGGGCAGUGGCUGACACUGAGGCGCGACAGCGUGGGGAGCAAACAGG